This 117-nucleotide ribosomal RNA is filed under the name Bacillus altitudinis. The record is from RNAcentral. RNAcentral also lists the same sequence under 1 other name. Lineage: Bacteria; Bacillati; Bacillota; Bacilli; Caryophanales; Bacillaceae.
UAGCGGCGGACGGGUGAGUAACACGUGGGUAACCUCAUACCGAACACGGAAGUUAAGCUCUUCAGCGCCGAUGGUAGUUGGGGGUUUCCCCCUGUGAGAGUAGGACGCCGCCAAGCU